RNAcentral lists this ribosomal RNA (200 nucleotides) under uncultured bacterium. Its description in RNAcentral is "partial 16S ribosomal RNA". It matches the Rfam family "Bacterial small subunit ribosomal RNA", at positions 8 to 217 of the family's 1533-position model. The record is from RNAcentral.
AGAGUUUGAUCCUGGCUCAGGAUAAACGCUGGCGGCGUGCCUAACACAUGCAAGUCGAACGCGCACGGAGCAAUUCGUGUGAGUGGCGGACGGGUGAGGAACACGUGGGUACCUACCCCAAGGUGAGGAAUACCGGCGAGAAAUCGCCGACAAUACCGCAUACGUUUGUGAAAGCAAACAAAGCUCGGAGUAUCUGGGCG